UUAAGCGACUAAGCGUACACGGUGGAUGCCCUGGCAGUCAGAGGCGAUGAAGGACGUGCUAAUCUGCGAUAAGCGUCGGUAAGGUGAUAUGAACCGUUAUAACCGGCGAUUUCCGAAUGGGGAAACCCAGUGUGUUUCGACACACUAUCAUUAACUGAAUCCAUAGGUUAAUGAGGCGAACCGGGGGAACUGAAACAUCUAAGUACCCCGAGGAAAAGAAAUCAACCGAGAUUCCCCCAGUAGCGGCGAGCGAACGGGGAGCAGCCCAGAGCCUGAAUCAGUGUGUGUGUUAGUGGAAGCGUCUGGAAAGGCGUGCGAUACAGGGUGACAGCCCCGUACACAAAAAUGCACAUGCUGUGAGCUCGAUGAGUAGGGCGGGACACGUGGUAUCCUGUCUGAAUAUGGGGGGACCAUCCUCCAAGGCUAAAUACUCCUGACUGACCGAUAGUGAACCAGUACCGUGAGGGAAAGGCGAAAAGAACCCCGGCGAGGGGAGUGAAAAAGAACCUGAAACCGUGUACGUACAAGCAGUGGGAGCACGCUUAGGCGUGUGACUGCGUACCUUUUGUAUAAUGGGUCAGCGACUUAUAUUCUGUAGCAAGGUUAACCGAAUAGGGGAGCCGAAGGGAAACCGAGUCUUAACUGGGCGUUAAGUUGCAGGGUAUAGACCCGAAACCCGGUGAUCUAGCCAUGGGCAGGUUGAAGGUUGGGUAACACUAACUGGAGGACCGAACCGACUAAUGUUGAAAAAUUAGCGGAUGACUUGUGGCUGGGGGUGAAAGGCCAAUCAAACCGGGAGAUAGCUGGUUCUCCCCGAAAGCUAUUUAGGUAGCGCCUCGUGAAUUCAUCUCCGGGGGUAGAGCACUGUUUCGGCAAGGGGGUCAUCCCGACUUACCAACCCGAUGCAAACUGCGAAUACCGGAGAAUGUUAUCACGGGAGACACACGGCGGGUGCUAACGUCCGUCGUGAAGAGGGAAACAACCCAGACCGCCAGCUAAGGUCCCAAAGUCAUGGUUAAGUGGGAAACGAUGUGGGAAGGCCCAGACAGCCAGGAUGUUGGCUUAGAAGCAGCCAUCAUUUAAAGAAAGCGUAAUAGCUCACUGGUCGAGUCGGCCUGCGCGGAAGAUGUAACGGGGCUAAACCAUGCACCGAAGCUGCGGCAGCGACACUAUGUGUUGUUGGGUAGGGGAGCGUUCUGUAAGCCUGCGAAGGUGUGCUGUGAGGCAUGCUGGAGGUAUCAGAAGUGCGAAUGCUGACAUAAGUAACGAUAAAGCGGGUGAAAAGCCCGCUCGCCGGAAGACCAAGGGUUCCUGUCCAACGUUAAUCGGGGCAGGGUGAGUCGACCCCUAAGGCGAGGCCGAAAGGCGUAGUCGAUGGGAAACAGGUUAAUAUUCCUGUACUUGGUGUUACUGCGAAGGGGGGACGGAGAAGGCUAUGUUGGCCGGGCGACGGUUGUCCCGGUUUAAGCGUGUAGGCUGGUUUUCCAGGCAAAUCCGGAAAAUCAAGGCUGAGGCGUGAUGACGAGGCACUACGGUGCUGAAGCAACAAAUGCCCUGCUUCCAGGAAAAGCCUCUAAGCAUCAGGUAACAUCAAAUCGUACCCCAAACCGACACAGGUGGUCAGGUAGAGAAUACCAAGGCGCUUGAGAGAACUCGGGUGAAGGAACUAGGCAAAAUGGUGCCGUAACUUCGGGAGAAGGCACGCUGAUAUGUAGGUGAAGUCCCUCGCGGAUGGAGCUGAAAUCAGUCGAAGAUACCAGCUGGCUGCAACUGUUUAUUAAAAACACAGCACUGUGCAAACACGAAAGUGGACGUAUACGGUGUGACGCCUGCCCGGUGCCGGAAGGUUAAUUGAUGGGGUUAGCGCAAGCGAAGCUCUUGAUCGAAGCCCCGGUAAACGGCGGCCGUAACUAUAACGGUCCUAAGGUAGCGAAAUUCCUUGUCGGGUAAGUUCCGACCUGCACGAAUGGCGUAAUGAUGGCCAGGCUGUCUCCACCCGAGACUCAGUGAAAUUGAACUCGCUGUGAAGAUGCAGUGUACCCGCGGCAAGACGGAAAGACCCCGUGAACCUUUACUAUAGCUUGACACUGAACAUUGAGCCUUGAUGUGUAGGAUAGGUGGGAGGCUUUGAAGUGUGGACGCCAGUCUGCAUGGAGCCGGCCUUGAAAUACCACCCUUUAAUGUUUGAUGUUCUAACGUUGACCCGUGAUCCGGGUUGCGGACAGUGUCUGGUGGGUAGUUUGACUGGGGCGGUCUCCUCCUAAAGAGUAACGGAGGAGCACGAAGGUUGGCUAAUCCUGGUCGGACAUCAGGAGGUUAGUGCAAUGGCAUAAGCCAGCUUGACUGCGAGCGUGACGGCGCGAGCAGGUGCGAAAGCAGGUCAUAGUGAUCCGGUGGUUCUGAAUGGAAGGGCCAUCGCUCAACGGAUAAAAGGUACUCCGGGGAUAACAGGCUGAUACCGCCCAAGAGUUCAUAUCGACGGCGGUGUUUGGCACCUCGAUGUCGGCUCAUCACAUCCUGGGGCUGAAGUAGGUCCCAAGGGUAUGGCUGUUCGCCAUUUAAAGUGGUACGCGAGCUGGGUUUAGAACGUCGUGAGACAGUUCGGUCCCUAUCUGCCGUGGGCGCUGGAGAACUGAGGGGGGCUGCUCCUAGUACGAGAGGACCGGAGUGGACGCAUCACUGGUGUUCGGGUUGUCAUGCCAAUGGCACUGCCCGGUAGCUAAAUGCGGAAGAGAUAAGUGCUGAAAGCAUCUAAGCACGAAACUUGCCCCGAGAUGAGUUCUCCCUGACUCCUUGAGAGUCCUGAAGGAACGUUGAAGACGACGACGUUGAUAGGCCGGGUGUGUAAGCGCAGCGAUGCGUUGAGCUAACCGGUACUAAUGAACCGUGAGGCUUAACCUU
RNAcentral lists this ribosomal RNA (2901 nucleotides) under Escherichia coli TW10828. RNAcentral describes it as "bacterial LSU rRNA". It matches the Rfam family "Bacterial large subunit ribosomal RNA". The record is from RNAcentral. Lineage: Bacteria; Pseudomonadati; Pseudomonadota; Gammaproteobacteria; Enterobacterales; Enterobacteriaceae.